AUUAGCACAAAAUACAAUAUCAAUAACUAUCUAAAACUAAAACCAAACAAACCAAAAAAAUUAUAAGUUGCGCUAAAUGGUCCUUACUCAGCUAGGUGUCACGGUAUGCGCCACAUGGCACACUCCGCAACGCUGGUUUUCUGUAAGGCCUAGAAGAUGGACUAGGUGGCACUAAGUAAAUGGACUAUGUACAAUUUAGACGACACUAAGAAACUAAAUAACAUAAAAAUCUUAGAAUGUUUGUGGUGUAA
Leguminivora glycinivorella is the source of this 251-nucleotide long non-coding RNA. RefSeq lists it as uncharacterized. The record is from RefSeq and is a predicted model, not a curated record. NCBI's taxonomy places the organism in Eukaryota, Metazoa, Arthropoda, Insecta, Lepidoptera, Tortricidae. The transcript is spliced from 3 exons.